UACGAAGGGGGCUAGCGUUGCUCGGAAUCACUGGGCGUAAAGCGCACGUAGGCGGCUCGUUAAGUCAGGGGUGAAAUCCUGGAGCUCAACUCCAGAACUGCCUUUGAUACUGGCGACCUUGAGUUCGGGAGAGGUGAGUGGAACUGCGAGUGUAGAGGUGAAAUUCGUAGAUAUUCGCAAGAACACCAGUGGCGAAGGCGGCUCACUGGCCCGGUACUGACGCUGAGGUGCGAAAGCGUGGGGAGCAAACAGG
This 253-nucleotide ribosomal RNA is filed under the name uncultured bacterium. RNAcentral describes it as "partial 16S ribosomal RNA". It matches the Rfam family "Bacterial small subunit ribosomal RNA", at positions 524 to 776 of the family's 1533-position model. The record is from RNAcentral.